This 30-nucleotide non-coding RNA is filed under the name Homo sapiens (human). The record is from RNAcentral. Lineage: Eukaryota; Metazoa; Chordata; Mammalia; Primates; Hominidae.
UAGGACACCCUUGACUAACCACUUCUGACC